AUUUUGUGUGGACUUCACUAACUGCAGAGUUGAUGAGGCACCCGAGAGUCAGCGAGAAAGAGAAAGAAGUCACGCAUGAAAUUUAGAGGCUUUCCUCCUGGCUGCCAUGGCCUAUGACCGCUUCAUCGCCAUCUGCAACCCUCUUCUGUACUCUGUGAGCAUGUCUCACCAGGUCUGUGUGCUGUUAAUAUCAGGAUCCUACUUGUGGGGUGUAGUCAAUGCCAUUGCUCAAACAACCAUGACCUUCAGGUUGCCUUUCUGUGGGUCCAAUGAGAUCAACGACUUUUUCUGUGAUGUCCCCCCACUCUUGUCCCUCUCAUGUUCAGAUACCUUUAUAAACCAACUGGUUCUUCUUGGUUUAUGUGGCUCCAUUAUUGUCAGUACCUUUUUGAUUGUCCUGGUCUCAUACAUUUAUAUCAUCUCAACAAUUCUGAGGAUCCCGACCAUGCAGGGACGCCAGAAAACCUUCUCCACAUGCGCUUCCCACCUAACAGGAGUGUGCUUGUUUUUUGGUACUGUUUUCUUCAUGUAUGCACAACCCAGUGCCAUCUUCUUCAUGGAGCAAAGUAAAAUAGUGUCCAUAUUCUACACUAUGGUCAUCCCCAUGCUGAAUCCCCUGAUAUACAGCCUGAGGAACAAAGAGGUCAAGCAGGCUCUGAGACGGAGCAUGCAGAAGCUGUCUUUGUGAUCACCGUCUCCAUGGAUCUCCUUAGUUAUCCUGGACCUCGCCCCAAAGCGCUGCUACCCAUGGAGGUUAUGUCUUAGGAAUAUGGCAUUCCAGGGCUUCUUAGUUUCUUUCUUGAAGUCUGUGAUCCAGAAGACCAAGGGUAUUUUAAUUGUCUUUAUAUGUUUAACGAUAAACAAAAUCAAGGCUUAUGAGGAAUAAAAUGCAGACUGGCGGAAAAGGUGACAGAAUAGACGGAUAUAUAUGGCUUUUUUGUCUCACAUAUUACAUAGUAUCUUGGUCCAACUCCGUCAGAAAACAAUUAUGUAAAAAUUGUAUAUUUUAUUUAGAAAAUAAAUAAAAUGUUUAUCUUGAAUGUAGCUUACCAAGUACAAAUAUGGAUCCUACACAAAGGAAAAGAAAAAUAAAAUGCUUUAAUAUUUUACCUAAAACAUUUAGAAAUAUAUAAAUUAGUAAUUCGUAUUUUUCAUGUUAAAAAUAAAUAACAAAUUAGAAAAAAUGUUAUUAAAUUCUAUUUUAAAUAGCUUUUAUGGAGGUAUAAUUGACACACAAGAAAUUCGCAUGAAGUGUAUAAUUUGUUAUGUUUUGACUUAUGUAAACACUGGUGUGACCAUUCCCACAAUCAAGAUAAUGAACGUAUUAUUAUGCCAAAUCACACCAACUGGUUCAUUGGUUCCUUCCUAAUGCUUCCCUCACUUUAGCCAUAACCAACCCUCCUCCCAGGAAACAACUGAUCUGCUUUCUGCCACUAUAGAUUAGUGCACAUUUCACUUAAAUUGAACUAUAAGCCAUGUAAUCUUUUUGAGGGGGUGGAAUUAGACUUGGAAUGGUGUAGCUUAUUUUACUUAGUAUAAUUAGUCUGAGUUUUAUACAACUUGUUUCAUACCUCAAUUGUUUGUCAUGUUUAUUACUGGAAAAUAUUCCAUUGUAAGAAUAUACUACAAUUUGUUUAUCGAUUUAUGUGUUCAUAAACAUUUGAGUUGUUUCUAGUUUUUGGCUAUAACAAAUACAGUUGUUGGGCCGAGAGUGGUGGCUCACAUCUGUAAUUCCAGGUGUGAUAUAAAGGAAAAUCUGCAGAAGCAAAUGCAGAAAUAAGUAUCAUGACAUCUUUCUGCUUUUAUCCAAUAUUAACUUAUUAAGCAUCUACUGGGCAUGCUAUCUGAGGAGAAGCACGAAUGAAUAAAACUCAUAUUUCACUUUAAGAAUAUCACAGUACAGUUGGAGAAUUUACUUUCAUAAGCACAACAUCUCAAGAUUUACACUUGGAAGUCAUCACAGUAAAAUCAGAGUAAUAAACAUACAUUGAAACAUUAAUGCAUCAAGGUCUUAACUGCCUGGAUGCAGACACAAUAUUUUAAUUAUGAAAAUUUCACUUUCAGUAGAGGAAUGAAAAACAUGGAAACUGUAAAAAAAAUAAAGAAUUAAUUUAUUUAAUUAAGAGUUUGAGCAAAUAUAAUUUUCUAAGCUCUAAACUGUUGGGAUACCAAAUUGAAUAAACUUUUUUCCUCAGAAAGCUCAAGUAUAGUAAAUCAUUGUUAGAAAUUUAGUAUUAUUAGUGCUGACAUAGGAUAAGUUCAUAUGUAUAGUACCAUGCAAAUUCAAAUUGUGUUCAAGUAUUGAAAACAGGGGGCCAAGGUGGCUUCACAGAAGAGAUGGCACCUCUGUGAUAGUUUAUUAAAUCUGUAUGUUCCCACUCCUUACAGAUUUCUUUAUCUUUUUAAGGGUUCAAAGUCUAGUAACUCUCAUUCCUCGCACAGCAUUUUAGAGAUUAAAAGCUUCCAAUUACCUUGAAUAUAAAAAUAUGUGCUUCUGCCAUCAUAGAUAUAUACUGCUUAAUGCUUUCUUGUACUGAAACCAAUUCAAAGAAAUACGAGAGAAGAAAAAAAGAAAAAAGGGAGAGAGAGUGAAAUUUCAGCUUCCAAUGAGAAGUGAGAUUCUAAAAGAUGGAAUCUUUGAGUCUCAAGCUAUGACUCAAUAUUCUCAAACAUAAUUAGAUAGUUGGUAAAUCCUUUUCUUCUUGGAUAGGAUAUAUUAAUAAGAUAUCUUUAUCCUGACUUAUCCAUGAAGGAAGAAUUAGUAAGUAAGAUGGGGGUGCUCGUAUUAACUUAUUGGACUCAGUAACCAACUAUGAGAUGUGAGUGCUGUUGCCCACUAUAGAAUCAUAAUUAGCAUUUCUCUGACACAAGUGAUCAAAUUUUAUAUUUUGAAUUAAUCAUUUGGGUGUCCUCUUUUGUGAAGUGAUUGUUUAAACCAUUUGCCCAUUUUAGCUGGAUUGACAAUCUUUUCCACUUUUUAAAAGAUAUACUUUAUAUAUGCUGGAUAUAGGUUUGUUUGCCAGAUGUAUACAUGACAAAUAUCUUCUUACAGUUUUGUGCCAUGCUUUUUCUUUUUUUUCUAAUAAGAAUUUUUAUUUUAUUUUAUUUUUUUAUUAUACUUUAAGUUCUAGGGUACAUGUGCACAAUGUGCAGGUUUGUUACAUAUGUAUACAUGUGACAUAUUGGUGUGCUGCACCCAUUAACUCGUCAUUUACAUUAGGUAUAUCUCCUAAUGCUAUCCCUCCCUGCUCCCCCCACCCCACGACGGGCUCUGGUAUGUGAUGUUCCCCUUCUUGUGUCCAAGUGUUCUCAUUGUUCAGUUCCCACCUAUGAGUAAGAACAUGCGGUGUUUGGUUUUUUGUCUUUGUGAUAGUUUGCUGAGAAUGAUGGUUUCCAGCUUCAUCCAUGUCCCUACAAAGGACAUGAACUCAUCAUUUUUUAUGGCUGCAUAGUAUUCCAUGGUGUAUAUGUACCACAUUUUCUUAAUCCAGUCUAUCAUUGAUGGACAUUUAUGUUGGUUCCAGGUCUUUGCUACUGUGAAUAGUGCUGCAAUAAACAUAGGUGUGCAUGUGUCUUUAUAGCAGCAUGAUUUAUAAUCCUUUGGGUAUAUACCCAGUAAUGGGAUGGCUGGGUCAAAUGGUAUUUCUAGUUCUAGAUCCUAGUUCUAGAUCCACAAUGGUUGAACUAGUUUACAGUCCCACCAACAGUGAAAAAGUGUUCCUAUUUCUCCACAUCCUCUCCAGUACCUGUUGUUUCCUGAUUUUUUAAUGAUCGCCAUUCUAACUGGUGUGAGAUGAUAUCUCAUUGUGGUUUUGAUUUGCAUUUCUCUGAUGGCCAGUGAUGAUGAGCAAAACAAGAAAUGGGGAAAGGAUUCCCUAUUUAAUAAAUGGUGCUUGGAAAACUGGCUAGCCAUAUGUAGAAAGCUGAAACUGGAUCCCUUCCUUACACCUUAUACAAAAAAUUAAUUCAAGAUGGAUCAAAGACUUAAAUGUUAGACCUAAAACCAUAAAAACCCUAGAAGAAAACCUAGGCAGUACCAUUCAGGACAUAGGCAUAGGCAAAGGCUUCAUGACUAAAACACCAAAAGCAAUGGCAAAAAAGCCAAAAUUGACAAAUGGGAUCUAAUUAGACUAAAGAGCUUCUUCUGCACAGCAAAAGAAACUAUCAUCAGAGUGAACAGGCAACCUACAGAAUGGGAGAAAAUUUUUGCAAUCCACUCAUCUGACAAAGGGCUAAUAUGCAGAAUCUACAAAGAACUCAAACAAAUUUACAAGAAACAAACAAACAACCCCAUCAAAAAGUAGGCCAAGGAUAUGAACAGACACUUCUCAAAAGAAGACAUUUAUGCAGCCAACAGACACAUGAAAAAAUGUG
This 4374-nucleotide small RNA is filed under the name Pan troglodytes (chimpanzee). RNAcentral describes it as "processed transcript". Lineage: Eukaryota; Metazoa; Chordata; Mammalia; Primates; Hominidae. The record is from RNAcentral.